GUGGGGAAUAUUGGACAAUGGGCGAAAGCCUGAUCCAGCCAUGCCGCGUGUGUGAAGAAGGUCUUCGGAUUGUAAAGCACUUUAAGUUGGGAGGAAGGGCAGUAAGUUAAUACCUUGCUGUUUUGACGUUACCGACAGAAUAAGCACCGGCUAACUUCGUGCCAGCAGCCGCGGUAAUACGAAGGGUGCAAGCGUUAAUCGGAAUUACUGGGCGUAAAGCGCGCGUAGGUGGUUUUGUAAGUUGGAGGUGAAAUCCCCGGGCUCAACCUGGGAACUUCAUCCAAAACUGCAUGACUAGAGUACGGUAGAGGGUAGUGGAAUUUCCUGUGUAGCGGUGAAAUGCGUAGAUAUAGGAAGGAACACCAGUGGCGAAGGCGACUACCUGGACUGAUACUGACACUGAGGUGCGAAAGCGUGGGGAGCAAACAGGAUUAGAUACCCGUGUAGUCC
RNAcentral lists this ribosomal RNA (450 nucleotides) under uncultured bacterium. RNAcentral describes it as "partial 16S ribosomal RNA". It matches the Rfam family "Bacterial small subunit ribosomal RNA", at positions 354 to 796 of the family's 1533-position model. The record is from RNAcentral.